AAAUUGGAUUGGUUGGACAAAAGAAAGUGUGACGUGGAAAUUGGAAAAUAUAAUUCUAAGAACAGAAAAUUUGUAACCAAGUGCAAUUUCAGUAGAAAAAACAUGUGAUUUUAUAAAGUUGACUCAACCAAGUUUCUCCUGUUUACCAAAAUCUUUUGAAUAUCCAGUUGAAGAUAGUCUUAAGAAAAAAGCAUAAAAAGAAAAAGAAAAAAGAUUAAAUCUGUAUGCUAAGGGCAAAAUCUUGAAUUAGAGUCCUCUCUAACCAAUCAAAGCACAUAAUAACUCCAGAUAAUCAAUUAGAGCUUAUCUGGCUUGAAGAACUAUAAAGAAAAAAAAAACCAUGGAUAGGCGAAUGUCUAUCUGAAAAUAAUACACAAAUGUCUAUCUUUAGCUAGACAUGGGGCUGACUUAAUAUUUUUAGAGAUUCAUUUGUGUUUUCAAUAGCUAUUGGUUGAGCUAAUCUAGUAUGCUUCUCUCUCUUGUGGAUCUUUAGCCAGACAUGCUUGGAAUUAGUAUUGGACUUGCUUUCAAUGUGGUUUUGCUUUCAACUAAUAAAAAAUCAGGACUAAUGGAUAGGUUAGGUUGUUCACACCCUUGACCUUUAUGGGCAUGGUGCAUUGACAUGGAAAGCGAGUCAACAUGGUUUUGGGAAUCACCCAGGGGCUUCUUUAUCUUCACUAAGAUUCUAUAUUUCUUUUCACAUUAAUUUCCAAUGAAAUGUUUCAGCUUAAGAUCAUAGUUAAAUUUUUACUAGUGCAGCUACUAAUAUUUAUGGAUUCUACAGUUUGUAUAUGAAUAUUCAUAUUGGCCUUUGUGGAAAAAAUUGUAUGUAGGUCUUUAUGCUUAUAAUCAUUCCAUUGAAUGGCCCAUUCAUAAAUUUGUGCCUAUAUCUUCUAUUUUAACUGCCUGACGUAGCAUGUAUAACUAUUGACAUGACCAUGAUAAGGCUGAUUAUUGAUUUUUGGUAAUUGUAAUGAUGGUAAUCAAUAGAUAAAUGGUACAUAUUACUGGGCUAUGGGCCCCACUUGUCAUUGCUGAAUACCUGUGUAUAUUGUUAAGAGACGCGCAUUACGUAUAUAGGGAGUUAUUUGAUACUCUGGCAGCAUACGACUUUUAACAAUAUAUUUCUUGUUUUGUUUCGACUUUGGAUGAUAUUUCCAAGCUCGUGCUUGAAUUAUUUGAAGUGCAUAUGAUGGCUUAAAUAUACUUUUGAGUUAUAACUACGAAAAAAAUAUGAUCAGAGGCACGUCUAUUUAUCUUUAUUUUUUCCUUAAUUAUUCUCUAUUCAAUUUCAGAUGAUUGCUUUCAACUUAGAGAAUAGAGGCUUUAUUACUAGAACUCUAUUUAUAACAAUUCACAUUUAUUUUAGAAAUAUUUGUGCCCGUGAUUUGUUUGCUUUUUGUGCAGAUUUUGAAUAAAAGGCUUUAUCAGCAUGCCUUGGCUGUCUUCUUGUGUUAAUUACAGCAAGAAGUGUGUUCGCUUGGUAGUGUUCUUUCAUGUCAUAUUGUAAGAUUCAAGCUUUUCUGUAAAGAUGGUUUGGAUUUUUGGGGCGGCUCAUGCAGGUGAAAUACCUUUGAAUCAUGAAAGCAACUCACGAGACUAAUGUAGAUUUUUACUUUGGCAUGUGAAAUCAUUUCUUUUAUGGACACGAUAUGUACCAACUUAAAACCUUUUUGCAGUCAUCAGGAUAUUUGUGUUGGGACCUGUACCAUUUUAGUUCUGUCUUUCUUCAAUAAAGCAGUGGUGUGUCUAUAUUGAACUGAAACUUGAAUUUAAUGUCUGGAACAUGUUAGACUGGGCUCUUAGUCAAUUAAGUGAUGCAGAGAAGCUGUAUAAACAACUUGCGCAUUUAAAAUCAAGACCUAGGCAAAAUUUUCAACGUAAUGGUUUCCUGGGACUUUUUGGACGAAAGGUUGAUGUUGUAGAUCACACUGAGAAGUGGUUACAAGAUUUGGAAGAGAAUGUUAGAAUGCAACAAUCAGAUGUUUCAUUGAUAGGAGAGGUCUUAAUACGCCUGAUGGGUGCUGAUGAACAUAUUUAUUCCAAUUAUAUGGACUCAAAGCAGUGGUUACAAGAUACGGAGGUGCUUGAGAUGAUUCUGAAUAAGUUCAGCUCCUCAAACAUGGUGUGAAGAAGGGCCCAUGGACCCCAGAAGAAGAUCAAAGGCUUGUGGACUACAUUGAGAAGCAUGGUCAUGGAAGUUGGAGAGCACUCCCGAAGCUCGCGGACCUGAAUAGGUGUGGAAAAUUCUCCAGUGAAGAAGAGCGGAUCAUUGUCAACCUUCAUUCGGUUAUUGGAAAUAAGUUUUAGGCAUGGAUGAAUGGGAGCUAUAGAUCGAUGGAUUUUAUUUAUUUAUUUGAAACUAUUCGAUUUAUUAUUGUAAAUAUUAUUUGCGGUAGCUCGAUGCAUGUGAAAGGGCCGCAUAGGCAUGUAUUUUUUUAUAGGAAAACAAUCACUAGGCACAAUCGACUUCCUAAGAGGAAUGUGAAAUCAAGUGGGCCUUGAGCAAAAGUCAGGUGGGCCUUGACCAAAAGGGUCAAUGAUAAGGUCCAUCAUUUUAUGAGUUGGAGAGGCAGAACUCAUAAAAUGGGACUCACUGUGAGUCGGGCAUCUAUUUUGUGCCA
RNA transcript from Magnolia sinica, 2624 nucleotides. RefSeq lists it as uncharacterized. The record is from RefSeq and is a predicted model, not a curated record. NCBI's taxonomy places the organism in Eukaryota, Viridiplantae, Streptophyta, Magnoliopsida, Magnoliales, Magnoliaceae. The transcript is spliced from 6 exons.